UGCCGUAAUGGGACAAUGGUACUCCACACGAUUGGAAAUCGUGAUCCGAAAGGAUUUCCAGGUUCGAUUCCUGGUUACGGCGU
This 83-nucleotide transfer RNA is filed under the name Candidatus Diapherotrites archaeon ADurb.Bin253. RNAcentral describes it as "tRNA-Ser". It matches the Rfam family "tRNA". Rfam says of the family: Transfer RNA (tRNA) molecules are approximately 80 nucleotides in length. The record is from RNAcentral. Lineage: Archaea; Nanobdellati; Candidatus Iainarchaeota.